UCCCUGGUGGACUAGUGGCUAUCAUGCAGUGCUCUCACUGCCAUGGCCCGGGUUCAAGUCACGGUCAGUAAG
Molecule: non-coding RNA, 72 nt
Organism: Pangasianodon gigas (Mekong giant catfish)
Lineage: Eukaryota; Metazoa; Chordata; Actinopteri; Siluriformes; Pangasiidae
Source: the annotation of a GenBank genome assembly